AGACGAACCGUCCAAACGUUAUUCGGAAUUACUGGGCUUAAAGGGUGCGUAGGCGGCGCGGUCAGUCGGAUGUGAAAUCGUACAGCUCAACUGUACAACUGCGUCCGAAACUACCGUGCUUGAGGAAGGCAGAGGUGAGCGGAACUCAGGGUGGAGCGGUGAAAUGCGUUGAUAUCCUGGGGAACACCGGUGGCGAAGGCGGCUCACUGGGCCUUUUCUGACGCUGAGGCACGAAAGCUAGGGUAGCGAACAGGAUUAGAAACCCGAGUAGUCC
Molecule: ribosomal RNA, 274 nt
Filed under: uncultured bacterium
Lineage: Bacteria
Description: partial 16S ribosomal RNA
Rfam family: Bacterial small subunit ribosomal RNA
Source: RNAcentral